Triticum aestivum (bread wheat) is the source of this 220-nucleotide long non-coding RNA. RefSeq lists it as uncharacterized. The record is from RefSeq and is a predicted model, not a curated record. Lineage: Eukaryota; Viridiplantae; Streptophyta; Magnoliopsida; Poales; Poaceae. The transcript is spliced from 3 exons.
GUCACAAGGCGCUAACACUGACAUAUGUACGGGCAACCAACCUCAACUAGCUAGUAUGGCUAAUCAAGGGCCUUCAUGCAGCACGUGGCAUCAGCCAGCACCCAUGUACCUGCCAUCGACGUCAUACACAGCGUAUUACGCUGGUGGUGACACGGCAAACGUCCCGUGGCAAGCUUCACAAAUUGCAGGUGGAGCACGACAUUUUGGUGUCACAGACCAC